RNAcentral lists this long non-coding RNA (838 nucleotides) under Homo sapiens (human). Its description in RNAcentral is "non-coding transcript regulating alternative splicing". Lineage: Eukaryota; Metazoa; Chordata; Mammalia; Primates; Hominidae. The record is from RNAcentral.
ACAUCACAGUUGAGAGGAGACGUGCAUAGGAACUGCGUCAUCUGGUUCCACACUCGCUCCAGUGAUGUUUGAGCCCCAGCAUAGAUCAGCAUGCCAGGAAGCAGCCCACCGGACCCACCCCUGAUCAUGGCACUGGACAUUGUUUUCCGUGCUUUUCUCAGGCUGGUUUCUGCCUGUCCCAACCCUGGCCAUGGCUGACAAGGGGCCCAGGGACACUGGAGCAGAGAGACCUGCUGGUCCUUGGGGUUUCUUGCAAGAGUGAAUCAUCUGUGAACACUUCCUGUGAACGUGUGACUAUGAUUAUGGAACACUCUGUUGCAUCAAGAUGGCCAGAGAUUGUCUCAGAGUCCAGGCAGUGGGAGGAGGGGGGAUUUGUUUCCUGGCUGGGUGGUCGUAGGGCAUCAAGGGAUGAGCAGCUUUGGUUGUCUGGGAUUUCAGCAGCUUGAGGGGAGCUGUAGGGCCCCAGAGCUGUCGCUGUGGCUGUGGUGUCAGAAAUGUAAGCAAGGUGCCUCCAUGGAGGUUAGCGAGGGUGCCCCUCUGAAUGCCGGGUGGAAUGCAACCUUUCGCAUGGAGGAGGCCCUCAGCAGCUGACCUCUGUCUUCCCUGUGUAGAGGGAGGGAGGCUGAGGCUGGGGCUGAGCGAGGGGUAAAGUAAGCCACGUGUCUCAUCAGCUAGCCUGCAGCAAGCACAGCCCUCUGGGAGGGCUGGUUCUAUCCUCCUCCUUGGUGUGAAAUCCAUCAAUCUAAUAGGGAUCCUUAUUUUCCCAGCCACCAAGUCACAAUGAGCAAUAAUCUCUUCUUGUUGGUGCAUAUAAAUUUGCUUCAUUCUUUUUUAAACA